GACGAACGCUGGCGGCGUGCUUAACACAUGCAAGUCGAACGGAAAGGCCCUGCUUUUGUUGGUUUCUCGAUUGGCGAACGGGUGAGUAACACGUGAGUAACCUGCCCUUGACUUUCGGAUAACUUCAGGAAACUGGGGCUAAUAUCCGAUAGGAGCUCCUGCUGCAUGGUGUUGGUUGGUAAGUGUCGGCGGUUGUGGAUGGACUCGCGGGUUCUCAGCUUGUUUGUGGGGUAGUUGCUUACCAAGGCUUUGACGGGUAGCCGGCAUGAGAGGGUGAACGGCGACCUUGGGACUGAGAUACGGAGCAGACGCAGACGGGAGGCAGCAGUGGGAAAUAUUGCAGAAUGGGGGGAAGCCUGAUGCAGAAACGCCGGGUGCGGGAUGCCGGCCUUCGGGUUGUAAACAGAUUUCGAAUGUGACGAAGAGGGAGUGACGGUAAUGGGUAAAGAAGCAACGGCUAACUACGUG
This 468-nucleotide ribosomal RNA is filed under the name uncultured bacterium. RNAcentral describes it as "partial 16S ribosomal RNA". It matches the Rfam family "Bacterial small subunit ribosomal RNA", at positions 28 to 507 of the family's 1533-position model. The record is from RNAcentral.